GGUUGCGAUCAUACCAGCACUAAUGCACCGGAUCCCAUCAGAACUCCGUAGUUAAGCGUGCUUGGGCGAGAGUAGUACUAGGAUGGGUGACCCCCUGGGAAGUCCUCGUUUUGCAACCC
Molecule: ribosomal RNA, 119 nt
Filed under: Helianthus annuus (common sunflower)
Lineage: Eukaryota; Viridiplantae; Streptophyta; Magnoliopsida; Asterales; Asteraceae
Source: RNAcentral